Molecule: ribosomal RNA, 500 nt
Filed under: uncultured bacterium
Lineage: Bacteria
Description: partial 16S ribosomal RNA
Rfam family: Bacterial small subunit ribosomal RNA
Source: RNAcentral
AUUGAACGCUGGCGGCAUGCUUUACACAUGCAAGUCGAACGGCAGCACGGGCUUCGGCCUGGUGGCGAGUGGCGAACGGGUGAGUAAUGCAUCGGAAUGUACCGUGUAGUGGGGGAUAACGUAGCGAAAGUUACGCUAAUACCGCAUACGCCCCGAGGGGGAAAGUGGGGGACCGCAAGGCCUCACGCUAUAUGAGCGGCCGAUGUCGGAUUAGCUAGUUGGUAGGGUAAAGGCCUACCAAGGCGACGAUCCGUAGCGGGUCUGAGAGGAUGAUCAGCCACACUGGGACUGAGACACGGCCCAGACUCCUACGGGAGGCAGCAGUGGGGAAUAUUGGACAAUGGGCGCAAGCCUGAUCCAGCCAUGCCGCGUGAGUGAAGAAGGCCUUCGGGUUGUAAAGCUCUUUCAGACGGAAAGAAAUCUCCCAGGAUAAUACCUUGGGAGGAUGACGGUACCGUAAGAAGAAGCACCGGCUAACUACGUGCCAGCAGCCGCGGUAA